UACCUUGUUAGAUUUUUCCUUAUGCCAGUGAUUCUUUAAGUGCACUCCUUGGACCAGCAUCAUCAUCAUCAUCAUCAUCAUCAUCAUCAUGACCUGAGAACUUGUUAGACAUGUAAAUUACUCGGCCCCCCUCCAGGCCUAUUAAAUCAGAAAGUCUUGAGGCGGGGUCCCGCCAUCUGGUCUAACAAGCACUCCAGGUGAUUCUGAUGAAGACUAAGGUUUGCUUACCACUGAUUUCUGCAGUGGACUUGCUGGUUUACGCCCUGGGUCUCUCGCCAUAGUAGAAAAGAGAAUUGGAGAGAUAUGGCUGGACAGAGAGAGAGCAGCAAUGGCAAAGAAGGCACUCUUAAUGGUAAGCUGUUUUGUUCAGCCACGGAGUGUGUUUUCUGCUGCAGCAACGUGUUUUAUCGAUGGAUUUCAAACAUGCAGAUGCUACAUUGGUCUCAAGCAAUUUCAAGGUGGAAUUUCUCUCUCCCCUUCCAUCUCAGGCCUCCAGUCAAGGAAUAGAAUGUGCAUCACAAAGCAUUCUACCAAGACUCAAAUAAGCUGUGGUUCAACCAUUUGCCUGUGUGGCCUAUGCAGAUACAUGCAAGGUCGUUACAGUACCCCGAUGGAACCUUUCCCUGUGCUCUGUAGUUCUUCUCAGGUUCUCCAGACACAUCCUACCUCCAUAUUGGAGAUCUUUACUUGCAGUUUCCUUCAGGCUGUUGAUACACUCACCUCCAGUCUAUCAUUCACUGCUCUUUCUGAGCCCACUAUGUUGAUAAAUUACUUCAGGGAAUGUUUAACACGGGGUCCAGUGUACUGCUAAUAUGGUAUAUCUAUUUGGAAUAUAAUAAUUACUUCUCCAUUCAUUCACUAAAUACUUGGGUAUGAAUACUUUACUAUUUUCCUGGCGCAAGUUUGAAUUUCUUUGAUAUUUUUCAUCCUACUCUAUUAGAGAAGCAUUUGUAAUAGAGAACUCUGAGAUUAAGGUGAUGCCACUAAAUAUUCGUUCUUUAGGGUGUUGUGCAAAUCUCAGCAGGGCCAUGUUUAUGGAUUGCUCUGUAGAGCAUUGAGAAUAUUGUAACUCUGUUUUUUGUAACUCAUCCUCAAUUCAGUGCACAUAUAUUUCAGGCAUGGAAGCAGAAAACUACUCCCAGCUUCUACUUUCCCCCUUAUUUUCUCCUUCCACACUUUAGGUAUUAGGAAAUUUUCAAAAUAAACACUUUUAGAACUAGUUUACAGGAUCUGGUUGGAAUCUUACAGACCUAUCAUUUUGAGAGCCAAGAAUGGCUCAAAUCUUCUGCUCAUUUACCAUUUUUUGACAUUCCUCAGUACCCCCCAACCUUUGGAAUAUUAAAAUUGAGGUAUUUUUGGCUAACCUUUUUAUAUACACUCAAAUUCUUCCUCAUCAAAAUAAGUUUAAAUGCAAGUCCUGUUUUUAAUUUCAGCACACCUCCCUAGGUUCAGCAGCAUGAACUUUGGUGGCCUACAAUUUUUAAAUUCAAAUUUUAAAAAUUAGUGCGAAAGGUAAGUAGAAUAAAAAGUCAUUUUCCAGAUACCCAUUUUCCAGUUGCUCCCUAGUGAUCCAGAGUAAUUAACAUCCUCAGCAAUUUCCAGUAUGAUUGCAGUCACUUCAUUCCUGAAGAUACUCUCAGGUACUCCACUUUCCCAGAGGCUUUAAAUCAGCCUGUAGUGUCUCUCAAAUUUUAGCAUCAUCCUGUUCACAGAUAUUUCCCAUACCAGUGGUGAGCUAAGUGUGCUUUCCUCUACAUAUCAAUCUUUUCACACUGUCAUUGAUAGUGUUCCAAGCAUCAAACGACUCUGUUUCAUAUGUGAACAAUACUAGGAUCAUAAUGAUACCAAACAAUGUAAUUGUCACUAGCCUAUAAACCAUGGGUUAGCAAGUCAUAAUCAAUGGACUAAAUUCAGCUAGCCACUUGUUUUUGCAAAUAAAGUUUUGUUGGAAAACAGU
This is a long non-coding RNA of Equus caballus (horse), 1957 nucleotides long. The record is from Ensembl. NCBI's taxonomy places the organism in Eukaryota, Metazoa, Chordata, Mammalia, Perissodactyla, Equidae.